ACCCCUAAAGUCAAUUUGGCUUAUCUUUAUUUUGCUGCAUCUAAAGUCCAGCAGCUCACUUUCCUCUUUCUGUACUCCUUUUUCCCCUUUCUUUGUUCUUCUUUCCUCUUCCCUUCUUACACGGCAACAUCUCUCUCUUCCUUUCUCACCAAAAAUUCUAGUUUCUUUAAAGAAGAAAUUAAACAAUUAGCCUUAAGGUUUCAUCUUCAAAGUGUGUGGGUGGCGAGAACGAGAACACGGACACUUGAGCUCCUCGUGUACCAUCUCUCGCGCCUUCUGUUUUCAGUGCACAGGUUCUUCGUGGAAGCAACGAGAGUAUUAGAGGUGGCAAGAAUUCUGUGUUUUCUCGUUUGUUAGAAUGUAGAGUUUUGUUGUAUAGCAGUUUGCUCUUUUGUUGUAUAGAAGGAAUCAAGAUGUACUUGACCCUUUGAACACAGAUGUAAUUCGGUACCUUAGUUUGUUUUGAACCCCAGUUGUAUGUCUUUGGGGUUAGGUUUGUAAUAAGAGUUUUCGCUAAACGUUUAGCUAUGUAAUAUUUCAUGAAUACCUUAA
Long non-coding RNA from Quercus lobata, 552 nucleotides. RefSeq lists it as uncharacterized. The transcript has 3 exons. The record is from RefSeq and is a predicted model, not a curated record. NCBI's taxonomy places the organism in Eukaryota, Viridiplantae, Streptophyta, Magnoliopsida, Fagales, Fagaceae.